Molecule: non-coding RNA, 29 nt
Filed under: Homo sapiens (human)
Lineage: Eukaryota; Metazoa; Chordata; Mammalia; Primates; Hominidae
Source: RNAcentral
UAGAAGAAGGUGUUGGGCCUCUUGGUGAA